UGUCACCCCAUUGAUUGCCAGGGUUGAUUCUGCUGAUGGUUUGGCUGGAAAGGUG
RNAcentral lists this small RNA (55 nucleotides) under Cavia aperea (Brazilian guinea pig). RNAcentral's name for it is "7SK RNA (ENSCAPG00000001477.1)". Lineage: Eukaryota; Metazoa; Chordata; Mammalia; Rodentia; Caviidae. The record is from RNAcentral.